Haliotis rubra (blacklip abalone) is the source of this 1027-nucleotide long non-coding RNA. RefSeq lists it as uncharacterized. The transcript is spliced from 2 exons. The record is from RefSeq and is a predicted model, not a curated record. Lineage: Eukaryota; Metazoa; Mollusca; Gastropoda; Lepetellida; Haliotidae.
CUGGGCUAGUACAAGCAGCCGUACAUACCCAUACACACGCAUGCACGUCUUCAUAUGAGUGAAAUAUUCUCAAGCACGACGUGAAACUCAAUUCACCUCACCUCACCUCACCUCACUUACGAUUAACGACAGACACAGACGCCCCCGCUGCAAUGUCCACCAGAGUGUCCAAGAGUGAGGCAAUGAGCAGCACAGGCAGAAUCACCUAAGGAGUUGCCCAUGAUCUGGAGGGACAGCAGGUCGCAGGUGACGCGCUUCUGGAUGGAAGCAGCUGCAAUACACGUCGGCAAUAGCUGCACAAUGGUUAGUUUAUACUGAAUCAUCAUUGAGAGAAAAACAUAACCUGAAUCAACUUACCAUCGGACAUGCCUGAAACAAAAAGGAUAAAUACAUUAAGUGAAGAGUGAUUUCAGCAAAAAUGAUCUUUUCUACUACAAAUCAAAGUGACCCCUUCCACGAAACAUGUUUUUGCAUCAUGGGAAUUUCGCUUGGAAUGGAAUGGAUGGUAGAUGUCCAUUGUUUGAAUGUAAAACAUCGAGACAUUGCUUGAGUUUAACGUCGCUUUGAGCAGCAUCACAUCAUAUCCAACACAAGAAGAUUGCCUCUCAAUUUCGCAACCAUUACGUAAGUAGUCCAGGGUUCUAACAUUAUGGUGUUGAAGCGAUUCACAGGUCCACGUCUUAUUUAAGAUGUGUAUAGACUGGGAGUGGACACGUUUUUAGGACUAAUAAAAAUGAUUUUGCAAAAUUAAUUCCUAUUAGGCUACUGAAUUAAUACAAGUCUAACACAUCUCACCCACUCUCUACUUACCAACAAAGGCGAUGACCAGACAAAGAAGAAGGAAUUUCAUUUCGAUGUGAGCAAGGAUCUCAGUACAAUCCUUUGUCAGAUUUUCCUUUUAUAUCUUUGAUGGCAGGGAUAGGCUGAGACAUGACAGGUGGACGGGCAGACACUUCUCUGACAAAGACUGUCAUGUUCAAGAUCCAAGGUCCAGUACGUUAUCUCUUAAAUAAAAGAGGGUAGCUUU